CGUAGGGGGCGAGCGUUGUCCGGAUUUAUUGGGCGUAAAGAGCUCGUAGGCGGUUUGGCAAGUCGGGUGUGAAAACUCCGGGCUCAACUCGGAGACGCCACUCGAUGCUGCUAUGACUCGAGUCCGGUAGGGGAGUGCGGAAUUCCUGGUGUAGCGGUGAAAUGCGCAGAUAUCAGGAGGAACACCGGUGGCGAAGGCGGCACUCUGGGCCGGAACUGACGCUGAGGAGCGAAAGCGUGGGGAGCGAACAGGAUUAGAUACCCUGGUAGUCCACGCCGUAAACGUUGGGCACUAGGUGUGGGGCUCGAUCGACGGGCUCCGUGCCGUAGCUAACGCAUUAAGUGCCCCGCCUGGGAAGUACGGCCGCAAGGCUA
Molecule: ribosomal RNA, 374 nt
Filed under: uncultured organism
Description: bacterial SSU rRNA
Rfam family: Bacterial small subunit ribosomal RNA
Source: RNAcentral